Ziziphus jujuba (common jujube) is the source of this 10529-nucleotide RNA transcript. RefSeq lists it as uncharacterized. The transcript has 2 exons. Lineage: Eukaryota; Viridiplantae; Streptophyta; Magnoliopsida; Rosales; Rhamnaceae. The record is from RefSeq and is a predicted model, not a curated record.
GCCAACUUUCCUCCCAAUUUUUUGAACCCCAUUGUGAUGAGGAUUUACAAGUUGUCACCGAUACUUUUCAUGUUGACGAGUUGAUCAUUAACAUUAACAGCAAAUAAUUGCAACAAUUUUGUCUAAGUCCAAAACAACGUCGUUUAGUAACACCAACAAUGUGAAAAUCCCCAAAUAUUUUCCAAGUCUAGAUUUCCAUUUCACUUACCCCCCGUGCCCAACUUCACUCUUCGUAAUGUACCUCCUCUAAAUCUCUCUCUCUCCCUCUUGAUCUUCUUCUCUACUCCUAACCUUGGUCUCUUGCUCGCCGUCUUCCUCUCGAUCUCUAUCCAACCUAACCCCCUUCUCCCUCUUUCUCUGGAUCUUGGUUUUAUUGCCAAGAGCCCCAUAUUGGAAGGAUGAGAGGCAAUUCCAAGGCUUACAUUGUGAGCAACUAUAAGCUUCUUGAAGAGGUCGGAUAUGUUGCCAGCGCUACGGGUUACAGAGCAAUCUAUCUUCCUUCCAAUGAAGCUGUCGACGUCAAGUACUUGGAUCUAGAUCACCCUAAUAGUAAUCUAGUUACCUGCUUAUUAUCAUUAUUUUCUUUUUCUCUCUCUAUAAUUAUUGUUUUUUUUUUUUAUAAUCAGAAUUUUACAUUUUGAUUCAAAAUUUUGACUUUAGCUAGAUCUUGUUUUUGUUUUGGAAUUGGAUAUUUUAGAAGUCUAAUUCACUUUGAUUUGUUUGGUUCCCAUUCAGUUUGCAUAGGGGCAUGGGCUCAUUUAUCUUGGCAUGUUUAUGUCUAAGAUCUUUAAUCAUUAUUCAAUGUUUGAACUAGUUUAUGUACUUAUUUAUUUUCUGCUCUGGCCUCUAAGGAGUUUGAGGUAAUUGUAUUCAGGCACAUGGGAUGGGAAAUUUUGGGUGUGAAAGAUAAUGAGGAUUAUUGAAGGUCGUUGUAUGGUGAAAUUACUCACAAGGCUUUGCCUUUUGAUGUUGUUGGCACUCUUCUUGUUCACAAGGCUUAACUUUUCGUACUCUUUUAUCUUUUUAUUUUUUUAUUGAGAUUAUAUCUUCUUCACAAUUUUUUUUUUUUUGGGUAAUGUAAUUAUAUGCUCAGUGUUUAUUUGAUGUUUAUGUAGCUAUUGAAGGAGCAUUUAAGGCAAUAAGGAACCGGUAGUUGGAUUUCUAAGUAUGUGAGGCUCAUAUUAUAUUUUUCUUUACUUAUAUUUUUCUUUAUGUAUCUUAGUUGGAAACACAAACUAUCAUGUUUUAAUGUUUGAGUUAGCAUGUACAGCUUAAACUAUCAAGUUUGAAUGUUUGAGUUAGCAUGUACAGCUGUAUUAAUACUAUAUAAUUAUAUUCCAUUAUUUAGAUAGGAAUUAAUUUAUUAGAAUUAUUGUUUAAUUGACUUUUCCUAUAGUAGGUUAUGAGUAUUCUAUAUUAAUACCCUUUGUGAUAUAUGGAAUUUAUCAAGUGAAUUUAUCAAUUUGGCAUCAAAGCAAAAGAAAAAAAUUCCACUGUUGUUUUUUCUGUCUUUAUUUGCUUUUCUAUUUUCUACCUAUUCCAUAGCCACUAUGUCUACAAAGCUUGACUCAGAAAUUCCUCAAAGCCAACAGUCCACCAACAUGACCAUUCAUGAGACUUCUUCUUCAAUCCAUACUAAACCGGAUGGUUAUCGUGUUUAGUCCCAAGUUUUGGAGAUGCACAUUGUUGGAAGGAAAAAGAAGGGCUCAUUAUAGGGAGAAAGACUACACCUAAAGAGGGUGAUCCAAGCUAUGAUGAGUUGGAGGCUGAAGAUGCUCUUUUGAAGUCUUGUUUAAUUAAUUCCAUAAGUGAUAAACUAAUGUCCCAUUUUGUACAGCGUGGAACGGCUAAGGAUGCUUGGAAAACAGUAAGGAGGAGCUAUCUUGACAUCUCCAAUUCUUCUCAAGUCUAUGAAUUGAUGAAGAAGUUCUUUCAAUUAGAACAAGAUGGUCAGCCUGUUGCAGAAUAAUAUAAUGAUUUGAACUCAAUAUUUAUGGAACUUGCUUAUCGGAGACCCAACAAUAUCACAUGUCCAACAGAUAUUGAUAAACAAAGGAAACGUAUUGCUGAGGAUCGAGUCUAUAUGUUUCUUGGGGGCCUUAAUCACAAUUUAGAUCACGUUAGUAGUCGGGUUAUGGCUACUUCUCCUUUGCCAAGUCUAAAAGAGACAUAUUCAAUGGUUCGGUGUGAAGAGUAGAGAUAGCUCACCAUGAGAGCGAAAGAUCACUUUAAAGGUUCAACCCUAGCUGUCCAAAAGAAUAACACUCGACCAAUACCACAUGUUUCUUCUUCCAAUUCCUUUUCUCAUUUUUGCACUCAUUGUAAUAGCACCAGGCAUACUGAAGAUUUUUGCUGGAAGAAGCAUGGCUAUCUGGAGUGGUAAAAACUUAAGCAAGCUAAAAAGUGAAAAAAGAAAUUUGCUCAGGUUGCUUUCAUAGAUACCUCUCCAUCUUCUGCUUCUCGUAUGACUCUGAGUGUCUUCUAGGGAAGAAAUUCUGGUUUGGCCUUAUUUUUGCUGCUGAUAAGAAUUGAAUUAUUAUUUAUGGGCCACUGAUCAUAUGAUUAAUGAUUCUUUUUUACUUGACUCACUAAUGCCUUCAUUGAUCAAGUCUGUCCAAGUUGCUCAUGAGACUCCUAUUCCAAUCUCAGGGGAACGGAAUAUCUCACUAUCACCAUUGGUUUCCAUGUGUUAUUAUUAUACUUGUGCCUAAUCUUUCAAAUAAUCUCGUUUCGAUUAGCAAGAUCACCAAAUAUCUUAAUUGUUCUGUAACCUUUCAUUCAACUCAUUGUGUAUUUCAGGACAAUCUUACGAAGAUGACAUUGGCAUUGGUAAGGAAAGGGGAGGUCUUUGCUAUUUGGAGGGGACAAGACACUUACCAUCUGAACAUGGACAUGGUUUUCAAGUAGCACGAGGGAUGUCUGAUAAAGUUACUCCUCAGAAAAAUCACCAGAGAGAUUGAACAUUUUCCCUAAAAAAUAAAGACCUAGAAGACAACAACCUAAUCCUAAGAGAAAUGAUGGAGGUGAAGCAACAUAGCUCGACAGCUCGGCAUCAACAUAGCUCUGUAACAGCAGCUCGGCAGCAACACAGUAGCUCGGCAACAGCAGCUUGGCAGCAACACAGCAAGCUCGACAGCAGCAACAACAAGCUCGGUAGCACCCGCAGUAGCACCAGCAGCAAUACAGCAGCACCAGCAACAACACCAGCAACAACAAUGCCAUACUAGCAGCAACAUAGCAUUGCAUGUGCCAAGGUUCACAUGACCCAAAUAAAAAACACACCAUUUUGAUCUUUCUAGAAUAAUUGUUUAAAACGCACCGUUUUCAUUUUUAGGUUUAUAUAUGUAAUAGUUUCCAUCUUUCAAGUAGACAAUUUUUAUCUUCUUCAAUAUAUGAAAUAGCUUGAUGAACAAGCUGAGCUUCCAGCUUCCUUUGCUGGUUGUUUGUAAAUGAUAAAUUCAUUUUUCUUGUUUAAUUGAAAGCUUCUACAUCAAAUUGGUAUCAGAGCUGGGAGAUCGUCGGGAAUCCUGUUAUGGCCAAUUCUAAUGAAGGUAGCAGCUGUACCAAUGGAGAAGACCAGGGUACGAAAGCCAUUUUGGUAGCCAUCCGAGGUGUGGAGCAGCAGAUCGAGAAUCUUGCCUUAGUCAUCCAACAAUCCUUGCUUCAACAAACUUCACCACCACCUUUAACACCACCGGUUGCUGGAGCGAGAGAGCGAGAGCUAGCUUGCCACCCACCGGCACCAAUUCGGACCCAAAACACCCAGCCACGGCCAGAUUUUUCCUUGGCAAUAAAUCCACCACCACCAUCUCACUCUCUGCGAAAUUUUUACCCUAACCAGCUCCCAUUGCCGAACACCAACUCAGAUGAUGACAUUGAGGCAACUCUCUUUAACCAACCACGACGUAGGCUUGGAUAUCAUUUCCCUAACCACCAUUUUGGACAGUCAGGAUCUCCACCCAGGUAUGAUCAACAUUGAGAUACGGCUUAUAAAAUUAAAAUUGAUCUGCCUAUGUCUGAUGGCCAAAUUGUUAUAGAAAGCUUCUUAGAUUGGAUUCAAAAUGUUGAGUCAUUCUUAGACUACAUGUAUAUCACCAGAGCACAACAGGUCAAAUUGGUGGCUUAUAAGCUUAAGGGUAGUGUUCUGCUUGGUGGGAGCAAUUGCAAGCCAACAGAAGGAAAGAAGGAAAGGAACCUAUUAGAUCUUGGCACCGAAUGAAGCAAUUGCUCAAGGCACGGUUCUUGCCAGAGGAUUAUGACUAAUUGCUUUAUGAACAGUACCAUAGUUUCCACCAAGGUAAUAGAACUGUGAAUGACUACACUACUAAAUUCUUUUGUUUGAGCUCCCGUAAUAACUUGCAAGAGACAGAACGUUAAGAAAUGGCUCGAUAUAUCCAUGGGCUUCAAAAACUAAUUAGAGAGAAGCUCCAUUUAAGCCCCAUUGCUAACUUUAAUGCAGCUGUGAAUUUAGCAAACAGAGUAGAGAGGCAACUGUCAGUCCCGGAUUCAGCUACCUGACCUCCCCACAAAUGGAAACCUCUAUCAGACUUCUACUUCGAUAAACCAAGACCAUAUCAACAGCACCAUAAAUCAACCAAUUUCACUUCAUAUCCUACCCAUACCAACUCCAAACAACCACACGAAUAGAACACCAAAGCUGCAGGGAAAGUACCACUAUUCCAACCCAAUUACAACCAACCUUCAAGACCAUCCAAUCAUCCCACAAAUGCCAAUCCUUAUGCAUGCCCAUACCCAAUCAAAUGUUUUAAAUGCAAUCAAUUGGGACAUAGGUCCAAUGAGUGUUCUCAACGGAAAUUGAUGCAUAUGCAUGAGGAAUUGGAAGAAAUUGGUGACGAAGGGGAUGAAAUGGGUGCUGAAUUUGUAGAAGCAAUUGAUGAGAUUAGUGGGGAUGACAUUGGGGGAGAGCUUGUGAUAUGCAUAUUGCAGAAAAUGCUCUAUUUAGCCAAGAAGAUCACGUCUAUCUAACGGCAUUCACUCUUCAAAACCAAGUGCACCAUCAAUGGCAAAGUGUGUGAAGUAAUCAUAGAUGGAGGUAGCACCGAGAAUGUUGUUUCAAAAGCAUUAGUUAAUGCUUUACAAUUACCCACUAAGCCUCAUCCUGAACCUUACAAUAUUGGUUGGGUUAAGCAAGACUCCAAAAUUCAGGUAACCGAAAUAAGCAAUGUCACAUUUUCUAUUGGCAGCAACUAUAUUAAUACUAUUAAGUGUGACAUAAUUCGGAUGGAUGCUUGCCACAUACUAUUGGGGAGACCAUGGCUUUUUGACCGAAAUGUACAGCACAAUGGGAGGCAAAAACAUAUUCAUUCAUUUGGCAUAAUAAGAAAAUUGUCCUCUUACCACCAACCCCACCAGGAAUAGGUCCACACAAAACUUCCAGAGAUAAGCUGUGACACCCACAUCAAAACUUAUGUGGCCAACUUAACACUCCCAGUGCUACACAAGAUUCCUCACAGUACAACCACUCUCAUGCUUUAAUUGCCCUUAUUCUUAAGGAUGCAGAGAUGACAGAGAGUAACAUUACUAUUCCACCAACCAUUCAACCACUCCUUGAAGAAUAUAGUCACCUCUCACCAACUGAACUUCUAAAUGAAUUACCUCCUUUCUGUGAUCUACAACAUAAUAUUGACUUACGUCCUGGUGCAAGUCUUCCAAAUUUGCCCCAUUACCGAAUGAGUCCCACAGAACAUGCAAUCUUGCAAGGUAUAGUAGAUGAGCUCUUUUCAAAGAACUUGAUACAUCCAAGCCUUGGUCCAUGUACCGUUCCAGCCUUCUUGGUCCUAAAGAAAGACAAAACAUGGCGUAUGUGUGUGGACAGCCGAGCCAUUAACAAAAUCACCAUUAAAUAUAGGUUCCCAAUUCCACGGUUAGAAGGUAUACUGGACAAACUUGAAGGCUCUAACAUCUUCUCCAGAUUGGACCUCAGAAGUGGCUACCACUAGAUUAAAAUCCAACUAGGGGAUGAGUGGAAGACUGCAUUCAAAACCCGAGAAGGAUUGUAUGAGUGGUAACUAAUGCCGUUUGGCCUUUGCAAUGCUUUAAGUACAUUCAUGAGACUCAUGAACCAAAUUCUCAAACCUUUUAUUGGCCAAUUUGUGGUGGUAUACUUUGAUGACAUUUUGGUGUUUAGCAAAUCCAAAGAAGACCACUUAACUUAUCUAAGAAAGGUUCUACAAGUGCUGAGGGAGAAUAAGCUAUACCUUAGCAUUCACAAGUGUGAGUUUGCCACUAACUGACUUCUUUUUCUAGGUUUCAUUAUCAGCAAGGAAGGGAUCCAUACCGAUCCCAAGAAGAUACAAGUGAUAACUGAUUGGCCUCCACCUAAGAAUGUCACCGAAUUAAAAAGUUUUCAUGGCUUUGCCACUUUCUAUCGAAGGUUUAUUAAGAAUUUUAGUGAAAUAGCUGCACCAUUAACAACAAGUUUUAAGAAGGAUGAUUUCAAAUGGGGACAACCAUAACAAGACAGCUUUGAACUUUUGAAGAAUAAACUCACCAAUGCACCAGUCCUAGUAUUGUCAAAUUUUGACAAAGUGUUUAAAGUUGACACCGAUGAAUCCAAGGUAGGAAUUGGAGCUGUCCUCACUCAAGAAGGCCGACCAAUUGAGUUCUUUAGUGAAAAACUUUGUCCAGCCCAGCAGAAAUGGUCCACCUAUGAACAAAAGCUCUAUGCUGUCAUUCGUGCUUUUGAUCAUUGGCAACACUACCUUAUUCAAAAGGAUUUCAUUCUCCGUAGUGAUCAUCACCCUCUUAAAUAUCUCAAUUCACAAAAAAAACUCAAUGACCUACAUGCUCAUUGGCUUGAGUUUCUUCAAUAAUUCCACUACACCUUCAACCACAAAACUGGACGUCAUAAUACUGUAGUGGUGCGUUGAGCCGAAGGUAUUCACUCCUCACCAUUUUGAAAUUAAACCUCCAAGAUUUCAGCUACCUCAAGAAAUUGUAUGCUAAAGAUGAAGAUUUUUCUUUCAUAUGGGACCAAUGCCAACUCCACCACAACAUGGAUGAUUAUCAUAUUCUAAAUGGCUAUCUCUUCAAAGGUAACCAAUUGUGUAUUCCUAAGACAUCACUAUGAGAGUUGAUAAUGAAUGAUCUUCAUUCGGGUGGCUUGGUUGCACAUGCUGGACGUGAUAAGACCACAUUGGCUAUCACCCAACGCUUCUUUUGGCCUAAAAUGACUGCCCAAAUAGCCUCUUUUGUUACCUGUUGUCCCACCUGCCAAAUUGCCAAAGGGCAUACCCAAAACACUGGUUUGUAUACUCCUCCGCCAACUUCUGUUACAAUUUGGGAGGAUCUUUCUAUGGACGUCAUCCUUGGCCUUCCAAUGAUUGUCAGACGAGUUGAUUCCAUUUUUGUAGUCGUUGAUCGCUUUUCCAAAAUGGCUUACUUUCUUCCCUGUAAGAAAGCCUUAGAUGCAAGCUUUGUAGCUCACUUAUUCUUCCGGGAGGUGGUCCAUUUACAUGGCAUUCCAAAAACCAUCACUUCUGAUAGAGAUGUCAAAUUUGUCAACCAUUUUUGGAAAGUUUUAUGGAAGAAAUUUGAUACCAAGUUGCAGUAUAGCAGUCCUUACCGUCCCCAAAUCGAUGGCUAAACUGAAGUUGUCAACUGUACACUUGGUACCAUGUUUCGUAGUCUAGCUUUAGACAAACCAAAACAGUGGGACUCUCUCCUUCCACAGGUUGAAUUUGCCUAUAAUAGCAUGGUUAAUCGUUCCACCAGUCAUCCGCCUUUUGCCAUUGUGUAUACAAAGAUACCCAACAAUACCGUUGACCUCAUUUCACUCCCUAUGUCAACUCAUUAAGGAGCUGCCACCUUUACUAAAAAUUAUACCCAUUUUCAUAAAGAGAUUCAACAUAAAAUUGAGAAAGCCAACCUUAAAUAUAAGGCAUCCGCGGAUGCCCAUCGUCACCACAAAACUUAUGCUGAAGGUGAUUUAGUCAUGGUUUACCUGCGAAAGGAACAUUUCCCUCCGGUACAUACAACAAACUGAAACCUCGCAAACUUGGUCCUUUUGUCAUCUCCAAAUGUGUUGGGCCAAAUGCUUAUCACCUUGAUUUACCUGAAGAUCUCCACAUCUCUCCUGUGUUCAACGUUGCUGAUCUCCAUCCAUAUCUUCCUCAAGAUGCUUCUCCUACUCUUUCUUUACAACUCGAGGAUGACUUUCCUGACACCGGGAAGGAGUUGAUGGAGGUGCAGCAACAUAGCUCGACAGCAACAUAGCUCGGCGGCAGCAACAUAACUCGGCAUCAACACAGUAGCUCGAUAGCAACACAGCAAGCUCAGCAGCAGCAACAACAAGCUCGGCAGCACCAGCAGUAAUACAGCAGCACCAGCAACAACACUAACAGCAACAAUGCAGCACUAGUAGCAACAUUGCAUUGCAUGUGCCAAGGUUCACGUGACCCAAAUCAAAAACACACCAUUUUGAUCUUUCUAGGAUAAUUGUUUAAAACAUACCAUUUUCAUUUUUAGGUUUAUAUAUGUAAUAGUUUUCCAUCUUUCGAGUAGACAAUUUUUAUCUUCUUCAACAUAUGAAAUAGCUAGGUGACUAAGCUGAGUUUCUAAUAGCUUCCUUUGCUGGUUGUUUGUGAAUGAUAAAUUCAUUUUUCUUGUUUAAUUGAAAGCUUCUACAUCAAGAAAGCUGGCAUCUUGCAGCUAAAACAUUUUUCCUAAUGACAAUAGCUAGAGCUAGACAUUCCCACUUCCACAAGGAAAACCAACAUUCCGGCAUCACUAAUGCUCUCGAUCACCUUUUCAGAAUUGCCAACAUAUUUCUUGCUAGUGCCAACUAUCAAUAAUUGAGUCAUCAUUGGAAAUUACACAACUACCAAUUUAUCCAUGCAUGCCAAAAGUUAAUUUAUUAAGGGACAUUUUACACUGAAACAAGUUGAAUCCAAAAUAUACUAUGAUAUGAAUUGAAGGAAACAGAAAGAUUUUCAAAAAGUUGUAUCCUUGAACACUUGCUAUCACUUUUUCUUAUUUUAAAGGAAAGCCAAAAAUACAAUUAUAUUUAUCAGAUAUAUGUAUAUAUAUAUAUAUAUACACACACUAAUAGUUUACACCAAAAGUGAGGAUGUAGAAGAAUGCAGUAAGGUGUUAAAAGAAAAGUGUCAGCCCCAAAACACAAUACAUAAAGGCUCAUUUUCUUACUGAAGAUUACGUAUACUAGGUAAGCUUUGAACCUAAAACCUCUAUGCAAGCCCACACAAAAACCAUCAUAAACGCCUCCAACCACAUUCCAAAUUUACAUUUUUAAAUGAUACAAAAAAAAAAUUAAAAAAAAAAAUCAAUUUAGCUAUCUGAAGACCAAUUCAUGUGAUACUAAACCAGGAGUAUCCCUCGAUAGAGGCAUCUCCUCUAUUCGAGAAGAAAAAUUCAAUACACAGGUUAACUUCACAUGCUUUUGAAAAAGACAUACCAACCAUAACACUGUUGUUUCGAAAUCCCUGCUGACAAUUGCCAUUAAGCAUCGGAAGACAACUGGCAUAAGAUUUGGUGCAAACACACAACUAAAUGCACUUUUAGAAGCAUUUAAACUAGUGCCACCAUUAAUAAUGCCACCUGAAACAUAUAAUCUCCAAAAAUGCUACCGCAAGAAGAUAUGCAUAACUUUAACACUUGCAAAACAUUGGAAAGUAAUAUUCCCAACAUCAAAUGAGAACACGGAAGUCCAACAAAGAGAUUAUAUUUCAAUGUAUGUGGAAAGUGAACUCCAGCAGCUAAAGUGUAAAACCACAUUUUUUUGCAAUAUCAAAAACUAGGUAGUGUGAAUUUGGUAAAUACUAAACAAUCAUUGAGCUUAAAAAGAAGACAUUUGAUUCACCAUUAAAUUUUAUGAAGUUAAAUAACCUGAAAUUGUACAGCAGCUUUCUCAUUGCCACUUCCACGACGGCUACCAGGGUUAUGAAGAGCAUUGAGUUCCAACUCAUCAUCAAGCCAUUUCACAAAACUAACAACUUGAGGGCCACAUAUUGUCAUAAAAUUUCACUUGAAUGAUAAAAUACUCAGCAGACCAAUUCCAACCAUACACGAAUGCAAUUGGCCAGAGUUCAUAUGGACAAUCUAAAAGGUUGCCUAAUCUGAGGAAAUGCAUGGGGAAGGGAAGAACCUUAGAAGUACAACCCUUAUUCCACUUGACAUUAGGCAUGGUAAUCAAUCACAUCAAAGGCUUUUGGAGAUGACCAUUUCCCAUAACUCUUAGAUAUUUCUUUUUGGAAAUGAACAUUGAACAGGUUGGAUGCUAUUGUCUUUUAGUGAAAAAAACAAUUGGAACAAUGGAAUCAAUUGGCAUAAAUAUCAAGCAAUACUUUGAAAAUAGCAAUAUAUUGCUGAUUGAUAUGCGUAUAUCAAAUAAAGCAUUUAUCUUGCUAGUAAAUCAUGAGAUGAUAUUGAAAAUUGCUUUGACUCGUAAAUUUUGCACCUGCCAGUUACAAGUAUCAUGUGCAGUUACAAUUCAUACUACUACUACAAGUAAAUUUGUUUAGUGAAAACACACUACAAUUUAUAUAGUUCCA